GUGAAAAACCUCAGUGAUCUACUGAUGAACACACAAUUCAAGCUGGAGAAACUACAGAAAAUCUGUCAAUCACCGGAGAUCACAGCAAUAACAAAUCACAGCAAUCCAGUUCAUUAAUGGACCAAAUUAAAUCCUGACAUACUUUCUUUUUUUCACAUUCCCUCAGACUUACAGUGCAGUAAAGAAUGACAAUUGCAAAAAAAAA
Cyprinus carpio (common carp) is the source of this 205-nucleotide long non-coding RNA. RefSeq lists it as uncharacterized. The record is from RefSeq and is a predicted model, not a curated record. NCBI's taxonomy places the organism in Eukaryota, Metazoa, Chordata, Actinopteri, Cypriniformes, Cyprinidae. The transcript is spliced from 2 exons.